Non-coding RNA from Arachis ipaensis, 367 nucleotides. Lineage: Eukaryota; Viridiplantae; Streptophyta; Magnoliopsida; Fabales; Fabaceae. The record is from RefSeq and is a predicted model, not a curated record.
AGAGAGAAACGCGAAUGGCGAGGCGAAGCAGAACGCAUGGUGGGAAGGCUUUCCUUGCCACUGCCGCCGCCGGAAUCAUGAACCAAGGUGGAGGAGAAGGCCGUCUUCCCCGUUGCUGCUAUAAUCGUCCGUGCUGCUGCCGGUGCUUCCUUGUUCUGUUAUUCCUUUCUAAUUCUUCCCCUGUUCCACCCCUGAAUUUCCAGAAUUAUUACUCUACCCAAUAUGAAUUCAUUGUUUUGCUCACUGUCGUGGCCAACUCGCGUUGCUGCUGCCCUGUCAAAGCUGUUGUGAGUGUUGCUAACAUUGGCGGAUAAGGGAUGAAGGAGCUAUUGCAUUUUGGGUGCAGCCCAACCACUCAUCACGCCAC